CUCCUACGGGAGGCAGCAGUGGGGAAUCUUGCGCAAUGGACGAAAGUCUGACGCAGCCACGCCGCGUGAGUGAAGAAGGCCUUCGGGUUGUAAAGCUCUGUCGGAGGGGACGAAAAUGCGGUCGGUGAAUAGCCGAUCGUACUGACGGUACCCUCAAAGGAAGCACCGGCUAACUUCGUGCCAGCAGCCGCGGUAUAC
RNAcentral lists this ribosomal RNA (198 nucleotides) under uncultured bacterium. RNAcentral describes it as "partial 16S ribosomal RNA". It matches the Rfam family "Bacterial small subunit ribosomal RNA", at positions 336 to 526 of the family's 1533-position model. The record is from RNAcentral.